Molecule: long non-coding RNA, 5220 nt
Organism: Orcinus orca (killer whale)
Lineage: Eukaryota; Metazoa; Chordata; Mammalia; Artiodactyla; Delphinidae
Exons: 2
Source: RefSeq, a predicted model, not a curated record
CCCGUUGUCCCUCCGGCCCUCGGCGCCCGGCGCGCGUCCCAGCCCGACCGGGGCUGCGCGCCGGGCCGCGUCUCCCGGCUGCGCCGCGCAGUUCGCCCCGGGGGCCGCCCGCAGGCUUCUCGCGGAGCCUUCGCGCCGCUCCCGGCCCCCGGGUCCCCGCCCUCCCCGUUCCCGCCGCCUCCCCGGCCUGUAAAGGAGUGUCGGGAGCGCUGUAGGCUUUCGCGGGCCACUUGGACACCGAAUCCUAAAAGCCGACCUCCGGUUGGAAGCCCGGCCAGAAUCCCACGAAAGGCGUGGGCUCGGCCUGUUAGGAUAGGGGAAAUCGGUGGAACCAGGACCCGGAGCCGGCGUAGAGCUGGUUGCCUUCCAGCCAAGUAAGAUGGAUCUCCUGGAGCGCUGGGCUCCAGCCUGUAGAACGCUGCCUUCCCCCGGCCGAAUGUAAACAUCCAGCCCUUCCGCCGGGGCUGCCUGGGCCUUUUCUCAUGCCGCUAUCCUGAACGCCCCCCGGGGGUUGGGAGGGUGCUCUCGAGGGGCGUGAUGCUGGGUACCGAUCCAGCAGUCACUUUUUAGGCGCCUACUGUGUGCCAGGGAGUACUGCCUCUCCCUGACUCGGUGCAACACGGGCGAGGAGGUCCAUUUCACCGAUGAGGCAACUGAGGCACUGGGAAAGCUAGCCACGGUUCAUGCAUCGGGACCACAAUUAAUUGUACUCCCAGAAAGCUGAGGCUGUAGCCCGCUUCUGUUUUCCAAACUAGUUGGAAGCACAGCUGGAAGAGCAGGAGUAAACGGAAUGGAGUGGGAGGGAAAGGAGGAUUUAUGAACUCGCCCCCGGGGCAGGGGGUGGCUAUUGACAAGAAUCUACAGGAGUUCCACGAUUGAAGUAAGUGUAGAUUUUUUUUUUAAGCGAAUCAUGGUGUUAUGGGAAGCGUGCAGGACUUGUCAUCAGGACACCACCACUCUGCCACUUGCCGGGGGUGCCGCCUAACUGCCUCUCUGGCCUCAGUUUCCUCAUCAGUUGAGUGAGUGGCUUGAACUAGAUGCUCUCUAAGGCCCCUUCCUGUAUUAAGAACUCGGAUUUGGUCCAGGAGCUGUUCUGCCAACUCUGCUAACUGAAGAAACAUCUGUGUUCCCUGUUCCCCUUAAAAUAGAACUCCUGCACGGAAGCUCAAGUCCCUUUGAAAUGGAGUUGUCCAUGCAGAGUGUGCAAACCAGAGACUUCUUGGGCUGGAGUCCAAUGACCCUGUGUUCAUGGCUCUGUAGCAGGAUCCUUACUGAGGUCCAUCUGUCCUUGGCUUGACUGUCCAUAGUAAAUCCUGAGAGUCAAAGAAAGAAAGGACUCUUGGAGUUUAAAUAUAAGAAUGGCCCCCUUUAGAUAUGCAGAGACAGCUGAAGGUCAAAUUGUGCUCUGCGGAAGGGAAGAAAGGUGACUGUAGUUCAGGUGGCAAAUCCCAUUCCCACCUCCUCGUAUCAAUUCAGCAUUAAGAUGUUAUGUAAAGGAAUUGUCACUGGGGGGCCUACCUUCCUGAAGGCCACUGGCUUCUGCACAGUGCAGGGAUGAGUACUUAAAAGUCCCCUUGCCAAGCUAUUGAAUGUUUAAGAGACCUUCCCUGGUCCUGGGGGAGUACCAGGAACACAAACACAUUGAAGCUGUUUGCUGUAAACUUGUCUGGGGCUUCCCAGUGUUCACUGAUGUGUUUUGUUCCCUGGUGGUAGGGUGAAUUCUUUCUAGACUGUCUGUUCCCUGUACCCUCCUACCUCCUACUUGGUGAUUAGGAAAGCAGAGCUAGAACACACUUGACAGCCUUCGGACAGUUUUAUUGUACUCCCCUCCUCUUUCCACUCUUCUGAUUUCAGAAGGCAGUCCCACGAGAUGGUGUAUCUUAUCAAAGGAAAAAGUGUGAAGGAAUUUGCAAAAAGACACACCUAUCAGCUACAGUUUAGCGGGGGACACAGAAAUCCCAAGAUACUGUUGUACAUUGAAGGUGUUAAGUCAGGUGUAUGUUUGCACAUUACAGCUCUUCAUCUGCCCCAACUCUCCCUGUGUCCCCUUCAAAGCUAAUAUUCUAUACCUAGCUGUUUGUUAAGUUUACUCACUAUUGCCCUCUUUGAGCAAAUGAUUUUUGUUUACUGAAAAAAAAAAAAGUUAAUAAGAUACCAGGACGUUGUAUUUUACCAUAAGGAGCACAUAGCUAUCCGCUUUAAGGUAUGUGCCUUGCCAUUAACAUAAUGUCAACCAAGUCAUUUUCAAUGUGUCUCCCCUAUGCAUAGGCCAAAUUACAAUCUCACUAAUUUAAUGCCUCUCGACCAUCCUUAAUAGGAAACACUGUAAGGUAAACAUUUACUUGAGAAAUUUAUGCAGGAGAACUCUAUUUGGCUUCUAAAAGAAAAUUAUUAACACAACAUGUGAUUUUAAUAUUCCACACAUCACAGUCCUAAAAAAUUGUUUCUACUUGGUUCACUUUCUGCCUGGGACUGUCAGUAUGAUUUAAUUUUUAUAUAGUGUAUUGAUCAUAUGGUCUGGAUUACAAGGCCCUAAUAUAUGAAAAAGGGAGACAUUUUCCUGUUUAUUCUCUCACAGGAAUAUAUACCAAGCUUCCUCGCCUUGUGUCUGGAAACGAUAAAAGCUGAUGUGCAAUAUACGUGCUGUGUAAGUGGAGAUAUGCAAGCGGUUCCACUUGUUUCACAUACCUUUUGGGAUGUUAAAUUCUUGGUGAAAAAACAGGCGUCCACUCUCCUUUGAGGACCAAAGGAAUCUGGUGUCAGAGAAUCACCAAUGGAGCUUUAUGUCUCAGAAAAUAGCAUCUUUGCCGAUUAUUGCUUUUAUAAACACAGUUAUGAAUCUUUGCAUAGUAGUUUUUCUGAAAUGGAUUUUGUUUUCCUUUCAGUUGCAUAAAAGUAUGGCCUGUUCUUUUAUGCACUCCUGCUCUACCAGGUUACAAGAGAGCAGCAGACAAUAUCCCCAGGCAAGGAGGAAUGAGCAUCUACUGUCUUUCUAAGCCCUGUUGGCCUCUUUUUCAGAUGAAUGAGCUGUUUUCCUUUUCACUUCAACUCUGAUGAAGAGAUUAUCUCCAUUUUAUAGAUGAGAAAACUGAGGUACACACUGAAGUCAGUUUGAGUUGAUCUCUAAUCCUCAGUGAGCAUGACUGGAGUCCAUCCCCCUUUUCUUCCCUCAUCUGAAGAACCCUGGAACUCAGAUCAUUAGAAAAUUCCAAAGCUCGGUUUGCAGAAAGUCCUGCCUCUCCACAUUUUCCAGUUAGUCAUUUGCACCAAAGCAGAUGGAUAAAGGUGGUUCAACUCUUCUGGUCAGUGAUACGGUCUCGUCUCCCCAAGGUAUCGUUUUGAUUUGGGGUCGUUCUAACACUAAGUAAUUCCCAAAUUUUGAGGACGCCUUUGUACCCCGUGAGACAGUGGUUCCAAAGAAAGCACAAAUGGCAGUGCACGGCUGUAGCACAAAUGCAGAGAUUUGGUAAAUCCAUGUGGAGCUUCUCUGCUCUGUCCCCUGUCUCUUCCUUGUCCCCCUCCCCAGAUAUCUACUGAGUGCCUCCUUCCAACCCAUGCAGAGUCAGCCCUGCUGACUCUUCCAGGAUGGUUGAAAACCUUUAUUGUCUGGAUUGGCUAGUUUCUUUUGUUUUUUGGUUUUUUUUCUCCUUAGCUCUUCCAUCCCUUUCUCUUAUACUUGAGAUAUACCAUAGGGUUAUAGCUGCCUUUGUGGGAGACUGUUAAAGCCAGAGUUGGUGGCCUUUUCCACUUUUAGCCCUUUUGACUUACUGUCAAUUUGAGAUUCUUUCUUUUCCCCUUCCUGUGCAGUUGUUUGGGCUGGCAAGCCCUGUUCAUAGCAUGAUGCUAAUGAUACCAUAGUUGAGGGCUUCUUCCCCGUGUAGGCAGUCAUGUUUAUGGAGACACCCUGCCCUAGGUGUCAUGUCAACCUGGUACACAUUAUUUGAGGAGUGAUAAUUUGGGGGAUGCCUCCUGUGUCAGUACUUCACCGACUCAGCUAAUAAGGAGACCCAUCUGGUGUGACAUGCAGAUUUCUCAGGCUCCUUCCCAGGAGAUUCAAAUUCACUAGGCUCUGGACCAGGGCCUAGGAUUCUGUGUUUUAUAAAAGCUUCUGGUGAUUCUUAUCAGGCCAAUCUGAGAAUCACUGUGUUGUUUAAUAGCUAAUGUCCUAAAGGGCAGUUGGUUUAUGUAGAGGGAUCGCAUGUUCUGGCACGUUUUGAAUUGUUAGGUUGUCCGUACUUUUCUUUCUGUUUGUGGCCAGUACACCUGUCUUUUCCAAUAAAGAUAUUCAAGAUACCUAGAGAUUAUCAUACUAAGUGAAGUCAGACAGAGAAAGACAAAUAUCAUAUCAAAUAUCAAAGACAGAUAUCACAUAUCUCUCAUAGGUGAAGUCUAAUUUUAAAAAAUGAUAUCAAUGAACUUAUUUACAAAACAGAAACAGGCUUGCCGCUAUGGAAAAAAAACUUAUGGUUACCAAAGGGGAAACGUGGAGGGGAGGGAUAAAUCAGGAGCUUGGGAUAACCGUACACACACUACUGUAUAUAAGAUAGAUAAGCAACAAGGACAUACUGUAUAGCAUAGGGAACUCAACUCAAUAUUCUGUGAUAACCUAUAUGAGAAAAGAAUAUAAAAAAGAAUGAAUAUAGGUAUAUGUGUAACCGAAUCACUUUACACCUGAAACUAACACAACAUUGUAAAUCAACUGUACUCCAAUUAAAAAAAAAUAUUUCAGAUUGUUAGAAUCCUUUCCAAAGGAAAAAUUACCUCUGGGUGCUGGCCUGAAGGUCUGAUUUUUAGUGCAAGGACUUGCUGGUGUCUCCUAACUGCUAAGAGACUGGGAUUUUUAUUUAUUUGUAAACUGAGUUCUCUGUAGUGUUGUAGGCCAAGCGACCACUUUGGAUAAAUGAAGUGUUAACUCUAUAAAUAUUUUCUUUUGAGAAAUUGAAGUUUGUAUAUGAGUAAACCGUGAAAUGAAUGAAUGCCGCUUCUAAAGAGAGCCUUUAAAAGAUCAAAGUUAGCUUGGCAAAGUAUUGUAGCAACAACACAAGCUUCGGAUUCACCCAGGUCUGGGUUUGAAUCCUGACAUAAAGUCAUCUACACAUGUGACAUGGGCAAAAAUUAUUUAACCUUUCAGGCCUCAGUUUCCUCAUCUGUAAAAUACAAAAGCAAACCUGUGACCCUCGUAUAUGGUGAGGCUCAGAUGAAAUCACAAAUCUGAAAGCA